RNAcentral lists this ribosomal RNA (255 nucleotides) under uncultured bacterium. Its description in RNAcentral is "partial 16S ribosomal RNA". It matches the Rfam family "Bacterial small subunit ribosomal RNA", at positions 524 to 776 of the family's 1533-position model. The record is from RNAcentral.
UACGGGGGGGGGCAAGCGUUGUUCGGAAUUACUGGGCGUAAAGGGCUCGUAGGCGGCCAACUAAGUCGGACGUGAAAUCCCUCAGCUUAACUGGGGAACUGCGUCCGAUACUGGAUGGCUUGGAUUUGGGAGAGGGAUGCGGAAUUCCAGGUGUAGCGGUGAAAUGCGUAGAUAUCAGGAGGAACACCGGUGGCGAAGGCGGGUCUCUGGGCAGUGAACUGACGCUGAGGAGCGAAAGCGUGGGGAGCGAACAGG